GCCUUUAAGGUGACACGUGCCUGUAGUCCCAGCUACUCGGGAGGCUGAGGCUGGAGGAUCCCUUGAGCCCAGGAGUCCUGGGCUGUAGUGUGCUAUGCUGAUCAGGUGUCCACACUAAGUUCAGCAUCAAUAUGGUGACCUCCGGGGAGCGAGGGACCACCAGGUUGCCUUACGAGGGGUGAACCGGCCCAGGUCAGAAACGGAGCAGGUCAAAACUCCAGCGCUGAUCAGUAGUGGGAUCAUGCCUGUGAACAGCCACUGCACUCCAGCCUGGGCAACGUAGCGAGACCCCGUCAAUU
Molecule: unclassified non-coding RNA, 299 nt
Organism: Callithrix jacchus (white-tufted-ear marmoset)
Lineage: Eukaryota; Metazoa; Chordata; Mammalia; Primates; Cebidae
Rfam family: Metazoan signal recognition particle RNA
About the family: The signal recognition particle (SRP) is a universally conserved ribonucleoprotein. It is involved in the co-translational targeting of proteins to membranes.
Source: Ensembl